Molecule: long non-coding RNA, 551 nt
Organism: Grammomys surdaster
Lineage: Eukaryota; Metazoa; Chordata; Mammalia; Rodentia; Muridae
Exons: 12
Source: RefSeq, a predicted model, not a curated record
CGGCGGCGAGAUUGGUCAGGUAUGCGUGUUCUUGAGUAUGUUAUCGUUUCGGGCCUUGUAGGCUGAAGCACGGGAAGCUGGUGGAAUUCUCGGGCCAGCAGGAAUGGCGCUGUGGACUAACGUGAUGGGGCAUCUGGUGGACUCUCACAGGCAGUUCUGUGGAGAAGACGGAUGAAGACUAAAGAUUCAUGAAGAAGCUGGAUAACCGAAGAGCAUGUGCUAGAACGGAAAACCAGAAAAUAAAAUGGUGGAGUUUGAGGCUGGACAGUUUAAGACUACUGUGGUUGCAUGUUUUCAUUUGGAUGGCUUGCUUGGGUACAAAUGAUUUGAAUAAAGGCAUCACACAUGGGUCCCGUUAACCGAAUGCACUUGUGCAAGCUUAACACAAUGAUCCUUCCUUCUGAAUUUCAAGGGCUCCUGUGACAACUGACAAGUGGACAUAUGCAGUGAGUGCACCUUUAUGUUUCAGAGGUCUCUGGAUGAAGGCUAAGGAAGAUGUGUCAGACACAUUGUGCUAAGAAUUUUGCCAUUAAAGUACACUAACAUCUGGA